This 377-nucleotide ribosomal RNA is filed under the name uncultured bacterium. RNAcentral describes it as "bacterial SSU rRNA". It matches the Rfam family "Bacterial small subunit ribosomal RNA", at positions 523 to 898 of the family's 1533-position model. The record is from RNAcentral.
AGACGUAGGGGGCGAGCGUUGUCCGGAAUUACUGGGCGUAAAGAGCACGUAGGCGGGGACUUAAGUCAGGUGUGAAAGACCGGGGCUCAACUCCGGGGUGGCACUUGAAACUGGGUUUCUUGAGGGCAGGAGAGGGAAGCAGAAUUCCUGGUGUAGCGGUGAAAUGCGUAGAAAUCAGGAGGAAUACCAGUGGCGAAGGCGGCUUUCUGGACUGACCCUGACGCUGAGGUGCGAAAGCGUGGGUAGCAAACAGGAUUAGAUACCCUGGUAGUCCACGCUGUAAACGAUGGAUACUAGGUGUAGGAGGUAUCGACCCCUUCUGUGCCGCAGCUAACGCAAUAAGUAUCCCGCCUGGGGAGUACGAUCGCAAGGUUGAA